RNAcentral lists this RNase P RNA (354 nucleotides) under Dehalococcoidia bacterium. Its description in RNAcentral is "RNase P RNA component class A". It matches the Rfam family "Bacterial RNase P class A". Rfam says of the family: Ribonuclease P (RNase P) is a ubiquitous endoribonuclease, found in archaea, bacteria and eukarya as well as chloroplasts and mitochondria. Its best characterised activity is the generation of mature 5'-ends of tRNAs by cleaving the 5'-leader elements of precursor-tRNAs. The record is from RNAcentral. Lineage: Bacteria; Bacillati; Chloroflexota; Dehalococcoidia.
UAGGUAGGCUGGGUGAUCGCCCCGAUACUGUCGGGGAGGAAAGUCCGAGCUCCACAGGGCAGGGUGCUGGCUAACGGCCAGGCGGGGUAACCCGACGGAAAGUGCCACAGAAACAAUACCGCCCCGAUUUAUCGGGGUAAGGGCGAAAUGGUGAGGUAAGAGCUCACCGCUCCGAUGGUGACAUUGGAGGCAGGGCAAACCCCACUCGGAGCAAGGCCGCAUAGGGGGGCUAAGGGUGCCCGUCCCGUCCCCGGGUUGGCUGCUAGAGGCUUCGAGUAAUCGGAGUCCCAGAUAGAUGAUCACCGUCCCGGCUAUGUCGGGAUACAGGACUCGGCUUACAGGCCUACCUAUCAA